This 408-nucleotide ribosomal RNA is filed under the name uncultured bacterium. Its description in RNAcentral is "partial 16S ribosomal RNA". It matches the Rfam family "Bacterial small subunit ribosomal RNA", at positions 29 to 526 of the family's 1533-position model. The record is from RNAcentral.
AGUGAACGCUGGCGGCGUGCCUAAUACAUGCAAGUCGAACGAAGUGGAGCACGGGUGAGUAAUAUAUAGUUAAUCUGCCCUACACAGAGGAACAACAGGUGGGAACGCAUGCUAAUACAUCAUAGUGUAGGAUGAGACUAUAUCGUAUCAGCUAGUUGGUAAGGUAAUGGCUUACCAAGGCGAUGACGCGUAACUGGUGUGAGAGGAUGAGCAGUCACAUUGGACGUGAGACACGGUCCAAGCACCUACGGGAGGCAGCAGUAAGGAAUAUUGCGCAAUGCGGGAAACCCUGACGCAGCAACGCCGCGUGGAGGAUGACACUUUGCGGAGCGUAAACUCCUUUUAUCAGGAAAGCGGUACCUGAUGAAUAAGCACCGGCUAACUCCGUGCCAGCAGCCGCGGUAAUAC